RNA transcript from Dioscorea cayenensis subsp. rotundata (Guinea yam), 3021 nucleotides. It is a transcript of the gene named putative pentatricopeptide repeat-containing protein At3g49142, with no coding region annotated. The transcript has 2 exons. The record is from RefSeq and is a predicted model, not a curated record. NCBI's taxonomy places the organism in Eukaryota, Viridiplantae, Streptophyta, Magnoliopsida, Dioscoreales, Dioscoreaceae.
CGUUACCAAAACCAUAACAAAGCAUGUUACCCGAAAGAAUAAAGAAAAUACUAGAAAUUAAUUCAAUUAUUUAAGAUACGUGCCGAUUGAGCUGGACACCCAUCAUAAGACCCUCCGAAUCGGUGGAUUCCACAUGUUCACAAAUCUCUCUUGUUAUGAGAAUAGUACUCCACUUGAGAGCGCGCCAACUCGCAAGGCCCUCGUGGAACCCGCCAUUAACGACGUUUACAAGCUAUGAAGCCCUUCUAAAAUCUCUCACUCAGCCUUCUAUUGCACUCCCACCCCUCCAACAACUCCAUGCUCUCAUAAUCACUAAUGGCCUCUCUUUCAAAUCAGUGCUGUCAUGCAAACUCAUCUCGUCCUACUUGUCAAUCUCUGGUCUUCAGUGUGCCCGUAAGGUGUUCGACUUUUUGCCUAAGAGAACCACCCAUGCUUACAAUCACAUAUUGAGUGCCUAUGUUGAUGAAGAACAUUAUAGUGCUGUCUUCAAGUUGUAUUUGCAGAUGUUAUCUGCUGGUGAAGUGUUGCCAGAUGUUGUUACUUUUAGUAUACUGCUCAAGGCAUGUGUUGCAGUGAAUUUUUUGAGUUGUGGUAAGCUUGUUCAUGCUCAUGUUUUGGUCUCUGGAUUGGAAUCUGAUUUGCGGUUGGGUACAGAUAUUUUGUCUGUGUACUCUAAAUGUGGAAGUUUAGAUUUUGCGGUCAAGCAGUUUGGGUUGAUGCCUUGGAGAGAUGCAUAUGUUUGGACCGCUAUGGUGGAUGGAUAUUUGCGAUCGGGUUGUGUUGCUGAGGCUCUUGAUAUGUUUGGCAAGAUGAGAGAGUUGGGUAUGGCAGAUAGUGUAGUUACCUGGAAUGCUUUGAUGUCCGGGCUUGCUCGUGAGGGGCUCAUCUGUGACUCGUUGUUUCAAUUGUAUCAAAUGCAAGAAGCUAGUUUAAGGCCUGACAAAGUGAGCCUGUGUACAAUUCUGCCAAUGUUUGGCCAGGCUGCUGUUUUGAAACCAGGGCAAGAAGCUCAUGCUUAUGUGAUUAGGAAUGGUAUGGAGUUGGAUUUGUUAAUUAUUAGCGCUCUUGUGGACAUGUAUGCAAAAUGUGGGAAAUUGGUGCUAGCUAGAUGCAUCUUUGAGAAGGCGGUUGUAAAAGAUGCAGGUUUGUGGAAUGCAAUGAUGGCUGGAUAUGGAAUGCAUGGAUAUUCUGAUGAAGCCUUAAGUCUUUUCCAUCGGAUGAGGGUUUCAGAUGUAAGACCUAAUGAGAUUACUUUAACUUGUAUCCUUUCGGCCUGUAGCCAUGGCGGGUUGGUAACUGAGGGCAGAUACAUUUAUGAUAUUAUGAUUUCUGAAUACAAAAUUGUGGCACGUCAGCAGCACUAUGUUUGCAUGGUUGACAUGCUUGGUCGGGCUGGGUACUUGGUAGAUGCAUUUUUGUUCAUUAAGAACUUGCCAGCAGAACCCACAAGAGAUAUAUGGGGAGCUUUUUUAAGUGCUUGUAAAGUCCACUCUAAUGCUAAGCUAGCAGAGAUUGCCAAUGAAAACCUGAUGAAAUUGAACUCAACUAGUGUCGAUGCUGGAUAUCAUGUGGCAAUGUCAAAUGUUUAUGCAGAGAAUGGCCGAUGGAGUGAAAUGGCCCAGUUGAGAACUCAAAUGAGAGAUGUAGGAUUGAAGAAAAGAGUGGCAUAUAGUUGGGUUGAGGUUGGGAAUUCUGUUCAUACUUUCAGUAUGGCUGAUGAGUCGCAUGGUCAUGCGGAUGAGAUAUAUGCGAUGGUGAUGAGCCUAAAUGGCAUCAUUUCUAAACAGUUCAUUUCACAUGAUGAUUCAUUCUAGAAGUAUCUCUCUACCUUUCAAUACGGGUCUGCCUUUCCAUUUUGAAGGGGUGAGAUACAGUUUGCAGUCUUUGCUUAGCCUCCUGGAUUAUGAGAAUGAUGCACACAAUUGCUGCUCAUACAUCUAACAACCAAAUGACUCCAUCUGCUGUUGCUGCCUGCAUUGCACCAUUGUUAUUGCGGCCACUUUUAGCUGGUCAAUGUGAGCUGGAUGAUGACUUUAAUGUAAAUGGUGAUAAAUUCUGCUCAGCUACUGGCAGCAGCAAAUGCUGCUAACAAUGCUCAAGCAAUCAUUACUAUUAUCUUGGAAGAGCAUGACAACAUAUUGACCGUAAGUUGUGAACAUAAAUACUUCAUUUGAUAGUUCUAAACGCUGUAUCAGCUUGGCAUAGUAUGUGUUUUUUAGUCAUGUAUUGGUAUAAUGGUGUUGCGCUUCCACUGGACUAGAAAAUUGUGGUAGCAGGUGAUCUUUUUAAAAGGGAGUAAAGGGACUAGAGAGAUACACUGGCAGGAAAUUAGCAUAAGGACACAAACGUUCAUUUUGGUUCAUUCUGUUCAAGGGUUAACUCUUUGGGCUAAUCUAAUGGAGCAGUUACACCAAUUGUUGAAAACUUAACUCAUCUGGGCAAAUUACCAGGGCUGUGCAUGUACUGGAUUGGUUUUAGAUAUUUCAUUAUUUGGUGUGGUCCUCAUAAAAUUUCUAAAUGCCUUCAAGAAGCUUUAGCACAGAUUAUAUUCAUUAGUAGCAACUAACAAUGUGCAAAUAAAAAUAUGCCUUAGCAUAUGCCAUAUUUUGUUCAACAUUCAGCUAGGAUUAUGUCGACCAACUUAAUCCUUUGUCAUGAUCAGUGUCACUUACCGUAUUUUGGCGCCAAUUAUUCCAAAGAAUUUGAGAUUCAAAAACUAAUCUGGGUUUAACUGCAUGAGUUCAUGUUACAGCAAAUACCUUUGGUUUAUUUCUGCCUUUUUUUUUGUUGGGUUCAUUGUUUAAUCGAUAAAUGGCUCUCACAAUAAACAUGAUUGUGAUCACUUGUAAGAAACAGCGUUCCUUAUGUACCAGAUGAAGCUUGAGGUGGAUCUUAAGAAUGGGUUCUUUUGAUAACUAUUUGUGUUUGUCCUUAUGCUUGUACAAUACCUUUUUCUGAUCAAUGUUGCUGCCCAACUGGGCAUCUUUGCCUACUUGUAAGAAAAGCUUUCCUUAUUUAUAA